RNAcentral lists this ribosomal RNA (439 nucleotides) under uncultured bacterium. RNAcentral's name for it is "partial 16S ribosomal RNA". It matches the Rfam family "Bacterial small subunit ribosomal RNA", at positions 339 to 795 of the family's 1533-position model. The record is from RNAcentral.
CUACGGGCCGCAGCAGUGAGGAAUAUUGCACAAUAGGGGGAACCCUGAUGCAGCAACGCAGCGUGGAGGAUGACGCAUUUCGGUGUGUAAACUCCUUUUAUAUGUCAAGAAAAUGACGGUAGCAUAUGAAUAAGCACCGGCUAACUCCGUGCCAGCAGCCGCGGUAAUACGGAGGGUGCAAGCGUUACUCGGAAUCACUGGGCGUAAAGGACGCGUAGGCGGGUUGGAAAGUCAGGUGUGAAAUCCUACAGCUUAACUGUAGAACUGCACUUGAAACUUCUAAUCUAGAGUAUGGGAGGGGGAGAUGGAAUUAGUGGUGUAGGGGUAAAAUCCGUAGAUAUCACUAGGAAUACCUAAAGCGAAGGCGAUCUCCUGGAACAUUACUGACGCUAAGGCGUGAAAGCGUGGGGAGCAAACAGGAUUAGAUACCCCAGUAGUC